RNAcentral lists this ribosomal RNA (358 nucleotides) under Megascolecidae sp. 1 SB-2015. Its description in RNAcentral is "partial 16S ribosomal RNA". It matches the Rfam family "Bacterial large subunit ribosomal RNA", at positions 1945 to 2540 of the family's 2925-position model. The record is from RNAcentral. Lineage: Eukaryota; Metazoa; Annelida; Clitellata; Crassiclitellata; Megascolecidae.
ACCGUGCAAAGGUAGCAUAAUAACUUGCCUAUUAAUUGUAGGCUAGAAUGAACGGAUAAACGAAAUAAGAACUGUCUCAAUUAGUAAACAUAAAAAUUAACAUCUACACGAAGAGUUGUAGAUACGGUCGAAGGACAAGAAGACCCUAUAGAGCUUCAUUUUACACAUAGAGAUACUAUGUAAAAAUUCGGUUGGGGCGACCUAGGGCAUUAUAUAACACCCUAAUAAACAAAGAUCUUUAAAUCUAUUAAAUGACCCUUAUUAAGAUCACAAGAUCAAGCUACCUUAGGGAUAACAGGCUAAUCCUAUUUAAGAGUCCAUAUCAAUAAUAGGGUUUGGCACCUCGAUGUUGGCUUAG